Mercurialis annua (annual mercury) is the source of this 1097-nucleotide long non-coding RNA. RefSeq lists it as uncharacterized. The transcript is spliced from 5 exons. NCBI's taxonomy places the organism in Eukaryota, Viridiplantae, Streptophyta, Magnoliopsida, Malpighiales, Euphorbiaceae. The record is from RefSeq and is a predicted model, not a curated record.
GUUAAAAAUUAAAAAAUGUGAACAGUUUAUUUUUGUCUUAAUUUUUGAAUAAGAAAAAUCUAAAGCAAAUACGUGUUCCAUCAUUCUUCUUCUCCUAACUUGCAAAUUAAAAAUUUAACCCUAAUUUAAUCUUUAUGCCACCACUUCCAGUAACCAUUGCCUUUCCCCGCUUCGAUUCCCACCUCCGAUGUUGCCGCCUGCUCUGUUUCUCUCCUCCACCGCUUUCUAUUGCUCGUGUUUUUCUUCCUCUAUGUCUACUGAUGUCCACUGUGUUUCAUUCCUCCGCUGCUCGCUGCUCGCUGUCGUUGCGUUUUGUUCUACCGUUGUGUCUGCUGCCUCACCGCCCAUAGCAACGCCGGCCUUCGUUUCAAGCUUGAUCUCUCUGUGAAAGUCUCUGGUGACUUUGAAUCACAAAUUCUUACUGUUGGAACUAUUAUCAUAAUAUCACCAAUCUUCAUGAUUUUGCUUAAUUGGAAGCGACUAUUGAUUAUGCUUGAUCGUCCAAUUUAUAGCUUAAUCUCUGAUAUGAUAUCUAGUUAGUUUUAAGAUAGUAAAGUUAUGGUUCUUAAAGUGCCUAAAAGUUUAGUGUCUUGUUUUUCAGGUAAACAAUUGAAAAUCUCAUUGAGCUGAACUAUGUUAGACAGGCUGUUUUUGUGUUAUCUUUGUGCUUUCUUUGUUUGCACACGUAUGUUAAGACAAUAUGAGUGGAUGAUACUUCUCAAAAAUGAAGGAAUUAAGGUCUUGAUCGCUAAAAUUGUAGGAAUUGUGAUCCAGUUCUUGUUUUUCUAGUACUUGCUUGCAAGCCUUUAACGUCAUCCUCGGUGUACCCUAAUCCGUCUUAAAUCCUAGAACGAGGUUUUUCGAUUUUGCAUACUUAUCUUGCAAAGACUAUUAUGGAGAAAUGAAGAUGAUAGAUUUUAUAUGAAGUGCUAGCUCGUCUUUUGACAAGAAUAAAAAUAGUACUCUUUCACAUUUAUUAGGACUAAUGUAUGUUCAAUUUUAAUUGUGUUGUAACUAGCCUAGUGUAGAAUUGAUAACCAAAGAUUAUUGUAUGAGUGUUUGAAGUUAAAUUAAAUGUAUUUUUAAAAUUUUUGAAA